AGCGAACAUUGGCGGUAGGCUUAACACAUGCAAGUCGAGCGAGGCGUAAUAGUCGAGCGGCGAACGGGUGCGUAAUACAUGGGAAUCUACCUCGAAGUGGGGGAUAACGUCCAGAAAUGGACGCUAAUACCGCAUAAUCCAUAUCGGGAAAGCGUUGCAGCGCUUUGAGAUGAGCCCAUGGCUGAUUAGCUUGUUGGUGAGGUAACGGCUCACCAAGGCGACGAUCAGUAGCUGGUCUGAGAGGAUGACCAGCCACACUGGAACUGAGACACGGUCCAGACUCCUACGGGAGGCAGCAGUGGGGAAUCUUGCGCAAUGGGGGCAACCCUGACGCAGCCAUACCGCGUGAGUGAUGAAGGUCUUCGGAUUGUAAAGCUCUUUCGGCAGGGACGACGAUGACGGUACCUGCAAAAGAAGUCACGGCUAACUUCGUGCCAGCCGCCGCAGUAA
RNAcentral lists this ribosomal RNA (450 nucleotides) under uncultured bacterium. RNAcentral describes it as "partial 16S ribosomal RNA". It matches the Rfam family "Bacterial small subunit ribosomal RNA", at positions 29 to 523 of the family's 1533-position model. The record is from RNAcentral.